UACAGAGGGUGCGAGCGUUAAUCGGAAUUACUGGGCGUAAAGCGUGUGUAGGUGGUUGUAUAAGUUAGAUGUGAAAGCCCCGGGCUUAACCUGGGAAUUGCGUUUAAGACUGUAUGACUAGAGUACUGUAGAGGAUAGUGGAAUUUCCAGUGUAGCGGUGAAAUGCGUAGAUAUUGGAAGGAACACCAGUGGCGAAGGCGACUAUCUGGAUAGAUACUGACACUGGGACACGAAAGCGUGGGGAGCAAACAGG
RNAcentral lists this ribosomal RNA (253 nucleotides) under uncultured bacterium. Its description in RNAcentral is "partial 16S ribosomal RNA". It matches the Rfam family "Bacterial small subunit ribosomal RNA", at positions 524 to 776 of the family's 1533-position model. The record is from RNAcentral.